GUACACGUUUCAUUGUCCUGCUUUCUUUUAUGUAUCUGAGCAGUGUUAUUUCCUAUGUGCUAUAUACAAGCCCUGGUGGUGCAGGGGUUAAGACCGCGGAUGCUAACCAAA
RNAcentral lists this small nucleolar RNA (111 nucleotides) under Loxodonta africana (African savanna elephant). The record is from RNAcentral. Lineage: Eukaryota; Metazoa; Chordata; Mammalia; Proboscidea; Elephantidae.